CACAACUUUCAGGGUGAGCAACCAGAAAUAUCAUAACACACAACAAAACAUAUUCAUUUUAAUCACAAAAAUAAUAUAAUCAAAUAAACAUAUUUCAUCACAACAUUAUCAUCACAUUUAAGCCAUUCAUGAAUCAAUAUCGUUUUCUUAUACUGUUUCGUCAUGACCUGUUAUCACUAACAGGUACCUGUUCCUAAACAGGGCAAUUCGAGUCGUCUUCAAUCGCAACUUCCGACCUAUCUCCCCGACCUUUCGAAAAGCCUUUUGGGCGAGACAUCCACCUCCCCGCUGAUAAUGACAUAUUUUACCAUGAUUUCAGUGAUGAAUCAAGAGAAAUUGUCAACCCUUUCCUAACCUUUUACCUUGUAAAUCCUUGUUUUCUUUUAGUUUGUUUAAGUGGUUGCACCCCAAGCUUUAAUGAGAUAUUUUGUUCACUAAUCCUUGCUUUUAUGUGCUUAAGGUAUUUGGAAGAAGUCUAUGCAUCAAAGGAAGGCACUGGAAACCAAGAAAAGUAAGAAAAGCAGCAAAAAUGAAGAAUCAGAUUUCUGUCAAAUCAGGCUCGAGCGCCCCGAAAAUGGGGGCGCUUGAGCGCCACUGGGUCAGAAUGCCAGAAAACUGGCCAUGUGCACCAACUCCUGUGCUUGCCUGUCCGACGUGCGCCUGAGCGCCCCAGUUUUGGGGGGCUUGAGCGCCAACUUUGCUGACAUGGCAGAUUUGCCCUAUUUCACUUGGAUGCACGAAGAACUUGCCAUCUUUUGCUACCCAGACGCCUUUCCUCUGAUUGGGAGCUCUUGGAGCGAGCUAGGAGCUGUGGGAACAGUCCUUCUUCUCCCUUGGGUUCUCUUCUUUCUUCCAUUUCCACCAUUGUUGUAAGCUUGAGCUCUCCAUUCAUGGAGAGCUAGUUUCAUUAUUGUUGGGGGAUUGAUGUAACCACUAAACUCUUAUGUAAAGCAUGCUGUUUUGAAUGAAUAUAUACCUCUUUCAUUGAUUGUUAGUGUUUAAUUUCUUUUCUUAAUGCUUGUUGUGAAGUUGCUA
Molecule: long non-coding RNA, 1035 nt
Filed under: Vigna radiata
Lineage: Eukaryota; Viridiplantae; Streptophyta; Magnoliopsida; Fabales; Fabaceae
Description: long non-coding RNA (VRAD_LNC014038)
Source: RNAcentral